AGUCGACGGGUCCUUCGGGACUAGUGGCGGACGGGUGAGUAACGCGUGGGACAUGCCCAAAGGUACGGAAUAGCCUCGGGAAACUGGGAGUAAUACCGUAUGUGCCCUUCGGGGGAAAGAUUUAUCGCCUUUGGAUUGGCCCGCGUUGGAUUAGGUAGUUGGUGGGGUAACGGCCUACCAAGCCGACGAUCCAUAGCUGGUUUGAGAGGAUGAUCAGCCACACUGGGACUGAGACACGGCCCAGACUCCUACGGGAGGCAGCAGUGGGGAAUCUUAGACAAUGGGGGAAACCCUGAUCUAGCCAUGCCGCGUGAUCGAUGAAGGCCUUAGGGUUGUAAAGAUCUUUCAGAUGGGAAGAUAAUGACGGUACCAUCAGAAGAAGCCCCGGCUAACUCCGUGCCUGCAGCCGCGGUAAUACAGACGGGGCUAGCGUUAUUCUUUAUUACCGCGCGUAACGCGCACGUAAGCGGACUGGAAAGUCAGAUGUGAAAUCCCGGGCUCAACCGUGGAACUGCUCUUAAGACUCAUCACUCUAGACGUCGAGAGAGGUGAGUGGAAUUCUGAGAGUAGAGGUGUAGUUC
Molecule: ribosomal RNA, 581 nt
Filed under: uncultured bacterium
Lineage: Bacteria
Description: bacterial SSU rRNA
Rfam family: Bacterial small subunit ribosomal RNA
Source: RNAcentral